AUUAGUGGAUUGUCAAUUGGGUUGAUGCUGGCGUUCAUUACGCAUGUGCUCGCCUUUACAAUCAUCUUCCAAACACCCUGUGCACGCUGGUUGAGGGAGUACUGAGCUGUGAUGUGAGUCCUCUUAUGCUCCCUCAAUCCUUCAUCCAUACUCUUAUUGCAAUGUCGAACGUGGUUUGUGCCGCAAGGCCUUAAUAAUUAUACAACUUUUAACAACGGAUCUCUUGGCUCUCGCAUCGAUGAAGAACGCAGCGAAAUGCGAUAAGUAAUGUGAAUUGCAGAAUUCAGUGAAUCAUCGAAUUUUUGAACGCACCUUGCGCUCCCUGGUAUUCUGGGGAGCACGCCUGUUCGAGUGUCGUGAAAUUUCUCAAGCUUUGGGGGUUUGCUAUCCCUUUAGUCUUGGUUUAUUGAGCUUUGCUGUUGUCCUUUAUCCAAAGGGAAUGGCUGGCUUUAAAAGCAUUAGUUGAUCCCCUGUGUGGUGUUGGUUUCUACUGAAGCGUGAUAAUAUUCUGAUCGCUGAAAGUACAUCUUUUUGGAUGGCCAGGCUGCCAAUUUGUGGGGUUAAUUUUAUAUAGUCUGGUUUCGCAGAUCUGACCCCCCUUGGUCUGUGGUUCCACUCUUCUCAGGUUUGGCCUCGAAUCAGGUGGGACUACCCGCUGAACUUAAGCAUAUCAAUAAGCG
RNAcentral lists this ribosomal RNA (680 nucleotides) under Clavulina guyanensis. Its description in RNAcentral is "eukaryotic LSU rRNA". The stretch from base 204 to 357 matches the Rfam family "5.8S ribosomal RNA". Lineage: Eukaryota; Fungi; Basidiomycota; Agaricomycetes; Cantharellales; Hydnaceae. The record is from RNAcentral.